GCCGACUGGUCACAUCUGCAGCAGAUCGCCUCUCGAUGCCUCAACGUCUUCACUCGGCUCCCCGGACUUUUCCUUUGGCAGGCGGUGCAUCGUCCGUCUCUCAGUCUGCUUGUGUGUCCUUCCUGUGCGAGUUCUUGGUCUUCUGAUGAAAUUCACACCUCAGAGCAAUCAGGAAGUGGAAAGCAGGUCAUCGCUGACAGACGAGGGAAGAGAAGACGAGCUUCACAAAGACCUGGAAUCAGCAGGUACAAUUGUUUCAAAGAAGACGACAGCGGGUUGGCAAUGAAGAACGAGCUUGUUGAAGCUCGUUUAAAGAUGGCUAGUCAGGUCACGAGAGUAAAAGAGAACUCACAACACGUGUGGAGGUCCGAUGGUGCUGCACAUCCCCCCCAAAAACACCGGACCUGUGACCCCGAACACGCCGCCGAGGAGACGCUCAGCUGCUAGAAUCUUCCGGCCAAUCACCUUGAAUCCAAUGGAGAUUCUGUGGAAAGAACCAAAA
Molecule: long non-coding RNA, 502 nt
Organism: Gasterosteus aculeatus aculeatus (three-spined stickleback)
Lineage: Eukaryota; Metazoa; Chordata; Actinopteri; Perciformes; Gasterosteidae
Source: Ensembl